GGGAGUAUGGCUCAGUGGAAGAGCAUUUGACUGCUAAUCGAAAGGUCCCCGAUUCAAACCCGGGUGUUCUCU
Molecule: non-coding RNA, 72 nt
Organism: Trichonephila clavipes
Lineage: Eukaryota; Metazoa; Arthropoda; Arachnida; Araneae; Nephilidae
Source: the annotation of a GenBank genome assembly